Molecule: ribosomal RNA, 450 nt
Filed under: uncultured bacterium
Lineage: Bacteria
Description: partial 16S ribosomal RNA
Rfam family: Bacterial small subunit ribosomal RNA
Source: RNAcentral
GUGGGGAAUUUUGGACAAUGGGCGCAAGCCUGAUCCAGCAAUGCCGCGUGCAGGAAGAAGGCCUUCGGGUUGUAAACUGCUUUUGUACGGAACGAGAAGGCUCUGGUUAAUACCUGGGGCUCAUGACGGUACCGUAAGAAUAAGCACCGGCUAACUACGUGCCAGCAGCCGCGGUAAUACGUAGGGUGCAAGCGUUAAUCGGAAUUACUGGGCGUAAAGCGUGCGCAGGCGGUUUUGUAAGACAGACGUGAAAUCCCCGGGCUCAACCUGGGAAUGGCGUUUGGGACUGCAAAGCUGGAGUGCGGCAGAGGGGGAUGGAAUUCCGCGUGUAGCAGUGAAAUGCGUAGAUAUGCGGAGGAACACCGAUGGCGAAGGCAAUCCCCUGGGCCUGCACUGACGCUCAUGCACGAAAGCGUGGGGAGCAAACAGGAUUAGAAACCCGGGUAGUCC